GUGCUCCCUCUAGCAGCACAUAUACUAAAAUGGAAAUGAUAUAGCAAAGAUUAGCAUCGCCUCUGUGCAAGGAUGGCAGCAAAUUCAUGGAGCAUUUUAUACUUCU
RNAcentral lists this small nuclear RNA (106 nucleotides) under Chinchilla lanigera (long-tailed chinchilla). The record is from RNAcentral. Lineage: Eukaryota; Metazoa; Chordata; Mammalia; Rodentia; Chinchillidae.